RNAcentral lists this small RNA (773 nucleotides) under Pongo abelii (Sumatran orangutan). RNAcentral describes it as "retained intron". Lineage: Eukaryota; Metazoa; Chordata; Mammalia; Primates; Hominidae. The record is from RNAcentral.
CAGACUGUGGGCUGCACACUGCAGGAAGAUUCAGCUGAAGAAAGAUAACUCUUCCACACAAGUGUACAACUACCAACCCUGCGACCACCCAGACCGCCCCUGUGACAGCACCUGCCCCUGCAUCAUGACUCAGAAUUUCUGUGAGAAGUUCUGCCAGUGCAACCCAGACUGUCAGAAUCGUUUCCCUGGCUGUCGCUGUAAGACCCAGUGCAAUACCAAGCAAUGUCCUUGCUAUCUGGCAGUGCGAGAAUGUGACCCUGACCUGUGUCUCACCUGUGGGGCUUCAGAGCACUGGGACUGCAAGGUGGUUUCCUGUAAAAACUGCAGCAUCCAGCGUGGCCUUAAGAAGGUGAGGCCUUUCCUCAGGACCCCACACCAGAUAAAAUGGAGGGGGAAGGAAGGAACGGUCCCAAGCAUUCUCUUUCCACUGGUUCUUUUGAGGCUUUAUAUGUGAAAGUGCUUGAUAAAUCCUAAAACACACAUAUUUACUGAAUUAAUAAAGGCUUCAGUCCCAGUAGGGCUUAGAAAAGUGGUUCCUGGCCAGGUGUGGUAGCUCACGCCUGUAAUCCCAGCUCUUUGGGAGGCCGAGGCCAGUGGAUCAUGAGGUCAAGAGUUUGAGACCAGCCUGGGCAACAUGGUGAAACCCUGUCUCUACUAAAAAUAUAAAAAUUAGCCAGGCAUGGUGGUGCAUGCCUGUAAUCCCAGCUACUCGGAAGGCUGAGGUAGGAGAAUCGCUUGAACCUGGGAGGUGGAGGUUGCAGCAAGCCGAGAUC